AAGUCUGCUCCUCCCUCUUUAUUAAGUCUAAAAAAAUCAGCUGCAGUUGACUACAGAUACACAGGAAAGCAGUUUUAGAGAUACCUAACCUUCAUCCACCAUGAACCGUCAAAAUUGCAUUCUCUUGGUUCUAUUUGCAUUCUUGGCAAUAACUUGUGAAGUAGGAGUUGUCACAAGCCUGCCUUGGGGUUGUUCCAGCUACAGUGGGACCUGUCGUGUAGCUUGCCUGCCUGCGGAGUUACCUUUUGGACCUUUUGGCUGUGCUAAAGGAUUUGUGUGCUGCGUAUCACAAAUCCUAUGAAGAUGAACAGCUCCAUAGAAUUAGAGUGCUUCCCUUUGAUGUCUUGUGUUAGUCUACUGAAGACAGUGACCCCUGCCAGUCGCUUACAGGCGUCUAAUGGAACCUGAACAAAACCCCCUCCCUGGCACUUAGUACAAUACCAGCCUUUCUAAUAAUUAUCCACUUCUUAUCAGUCCCAAGCCUACUAAUAAAACACAGCUGUUUAACAACAGCAGCACCUGAUUGUGGCUGUGGGUCUGGAGCUGCUCCAUACCUCCAUAGCUUUUCUGGUUUCUGCAGCAUUCUUUGGCUUUACCUUUCCUCUUAAGCCGCAAUGUUUUAAUUCACAAGAUUUGCAUGAGCUGACUCCAAUUGCAUACUACUAUUAAUAUUUGAUAUAAUCAGCUUUUGCUUUUUGUUUAAUAAGAGUGCUUACUGUCUUCAGUUACAAAUGAUUGCAACUUUUUUUUUACUGCCAUGUAUGUUACCAUGUUUCUGUGAAAAAGAAAUGUUUUUAAGUAUCAGAAUCUUGUUUAUUCCAUGUUUUGUUUUCACCCAC
Acipenser ruthenus (sterlet) is the source of this 839-nucleotide long non-coding RNA. RefSeq lists it as uncharacterized. NCBI's taxonomy places the organism in Eukaryota, Metazoa, Chordata, Actinopteri, Acipenseriformes, Acipenseridae. The record is from RefSeq and is a predicted model, not a curated record. The transcript has 3 exons.